RNAcentral lists this ribosomal RNA (271 nucleotides) under uncultured prokaryote. RNAcentral describes it as "partial 16S ribosomal RNA". It matches the Rfam family "Bacterial small subunit ribosomal RNA", at positions 524 to 794 of the family's 1533-position model. The record is from RNAcentral.
UACGGAGGAUCCGAGCGUUAUCCGGAUUUAUUGGGUUUAAAGGGUGCGCAGGCGGGAGAUUAAGUCGGCGGUGAAAUUUUGCAGCUCAACUGUAAAAGUGCCUUCGAAACUGGUUUCCUUGAGUGUAGAUGAAGUAGGCGGAAUUUGUGGUGUAGCGGUGAAAUGCAUAGAUAUCACGAGGAACUCCGAUUGCGCAGGCAGCUUACUAAACUACUACUGACGCUCAAGCACGAAGGCGUGGGGAUCAAACAGGAUUAGAUACCCCGGUAGU